UACAGAGGGUGCGAGCGUUAAUCGGAAUUACUGGGCGUAAAGCGCACGUAGGUGGCGACGUAAGUCGGGUGUGAAAGCCCCGGGCUCAACCUGGGAAUUGCAUUCGAGACUGCAUUGCUGGAGUACGGAAGAGGAAGGCGGAAUUCCCGGUGUAGCGGUGAAAUGCGUAGAUAUCAGGAGGAACAUCAGUGGCGAAGGCGGCCUUCUGGUCCAGUACUGACACUCAAGUGCGAAAGCGUGGGGAGCAAACAGG
This 253-nucleotide ribosomal RNA is filed under the name uncultured bacterium. RNAcentral describes it as "partial 16S ribosomal RNA". It matches the Rfam family "Bacterial small subunit ribosomal RNA", at positions 524 to 776 of the family's 1533-position model. The record is from RNAcentral.